This 64-nucleotide transfer RNA is filed under the name Kulikovia alborostrata. RNAcentral describes it as "tRNA-Gly". The record is from RNAcentral. Lineage: Eukaryota; Metazoa; Nemertea; Pilidiophora; Heteronemertea; Lineidae.
AUUUUAUUAGUAUAAGUAGUAUGCUUGUUUUCCACACAGGAGGUUUAUAAACAUAAAUAAAAUA